Long non-coding RNA from Jaculus jaculus (lesser Egyptian jerboa), 555 nucleotides. RefSeq lists it as uncharacterized. Lineage: Eukaryota; Metazoa; Chordata; Mammalia; Rodentia; Dipodidae. The transcript is spliced from 2 exons. The record is from RefSeq and is a predicted model, not a curated record.
GGGGCUGUCUUCAAUUAUUCUGAUCUGAAAUUGUAGAUGAUGUGUUUUUUUUUUCUCAGGGCUUGCUCAAUCUGAAGAGCCAGUUCAGAUCAACUUAACCAAGUCCUUCAAGCAAGAGAAUUAAAGCAGGUUGACUGAAAAAUGAGGCUGCUCGAGGACACAAAGUGAACAUAAUUUCACGGUUCCUGGAGCAUUCAGGACAGCUUUGUCACUUAUCCUCCUCCAGAGAAGACAGCUGCUGGCUCAGGAGGCUGUUCUGACUGGAUGCUAGUUUCGCUGCCCUUGUUUUUGAAAAGGAGGUACCAGAGCAGUUGUUCUCCUGCAGACACCCACAGGGGUGGAAAAGCAUUGGCCUGAUCCAGGGAACACCGUGGAAAACCUGCGCGGGGAUCCCUACUGCCAACUGUCCCCAGACCUAUGUGCAGCAACCUUCAGAAAUCCCUAGAGAUGCCAUGUGAGCCCAGAUGAAACAACCUCAGCUGUUGUCCAUUUUAAAAAUACUACCUUCCACCUCUUUGGACUGAAAAACCAAAACAAGAUUUGUUAAAAUGUGAA